Long non-coding RNA from Drosophila innubila, 474 nucleotides. RefSeq lists it as uncharacterized. The record is from RefSeq and is a predicted model, not a curated record. The transcript has 2 exons. NCBI's taxonomy places the organism in Eukaryota, Metazoa, Arthropoda, Insecta, Diptera, Drosophilidae.
AAUGGUUGUAAAAUGCCAUACAGAGAAACAGUGCAAAAAUCGAUUUUGUAGUGAAUGAUAUAUGAAAAGAGAAUGGAAAAUAGUGCAUGGGUACCGUAAAUAAACGGUCCCAAUCCAAUUGGUGGCAUAUAAAUUAUAUAUUUGUUGGUUGUAAAUAAAUAAAUAUGGCAAGUUGUUUGUAGUGAUAAUAUUUUUAAGUGUAAUUUUCUAACAAAUUUCGGAACGGUGCUGGUGGUGUAACAGUAAAAUGUAGUACGUACAAGGUAUAUAUGCAAAAAUACAUGCGUACGUGAAAACAUAUGUAUUUGUAUGUUUGUAUGUAUGUAACACAUUGCAGAUAAAUGUGUGCGAGAGUACACAUAACCAAACAAAGAAAUGAGAUAAUGUGCGAACCGUAGCAGCCAUCUUGUUCGCCUUAUAUUGUUGUUGUCUGUUGUGACCCCGAAACAGACGUGAAGUGGAGACCGAAAAUCA